Molecule: ribosomal RNA, 497 nt
Filed under: uncultured bacterium
Lineage: Bacteria
Description: partial 16S ribosomal RNA
Rfam family: Bacterial small subunit ribosomal RNA
Source: RNAcentral
GAUGAACGCUGGCGGCGUGCCUAAUACAUGCAAGUCGAGCGAACGGACGCGAAGCUUGCUUCUCUGAUGUUAGCGGCGGACGGGUGAGUAACACGUGUAUAACCUACCUAUAAGACUGGGAUAACUUCGGGAAACCGGCUCUAAUCCCGUAUAAUAUUUUGAACCGCAUUGUUCAAAAGUGAAAGACGGUCUUUCUGUCACUUCUAGAUGGAUCCGCGCUGCAUUAGCUAGUUGGUAAGGUAACGGCUUACCAAGGCAACGAUGCAUAGCCGACCUGAGAGGGGGAUAGGCCACACUGGAACGGAGACACGGACAAGAGUACUAAGGGAGGCAGCAGUAGGGAAUCUGCCGCAAUGGGCGAAAGCCUGACGGAGCAACGCCGCGUGAGUGAUGAAGGUCUUCGGAGCGUAAAAAUCGGUUAUGAGGGAAGAACAGAUGUGGAAGUAACUGUGCACAGAGUGACGGUACCUAAUCAGAAAGCCACGGCUAACUACGUG